This 1875-nucleotide ribosomal RNA is filed under the name microbial mat metagenome. Its description in RNAcentral is "bacterial LSU rRNA". It matches the Rfam family "Bacterial large subunit ribosomal RNA", at positions 1 to 2005 of the family's 2925-position model. The record is from RNAcentral.
UCAAGCGUCAAAAGGGCGUCUGGUGGAUGCCUUGGUGGUAAGAGGCGAUGAAGGACGUGGCACGCUGCGUUAAGUUCCGGGGAGUUGCGAGCAGACUUUGAUCCGGAAAUUUCCGAAUGGGGGAACCCACCUUUACAGACCCUGGCGGUUGUUCGUCUGAGUGAUCAGGCGGCCAAUCACCAGUGUUUGUGAAAGGUAUCUUAUUCUGAAUACAUAGGAAUAAGAAGCGAACUCGGGGAACUGAAACAUCUAAGUACCCGAAGGAAAGGACAUCAAUUGAGACUUCCCUAGUAGCGGCGAGCGAACGGGAACCAGGCCAGUGUCUCUUCUUGAGUCAGCGGAACGAUCUGGAAAGUUCGGCCAUAGCGGGUGAUAGCCCCGUACGUUAAAGCGAUUGAAGAGACCUUGAGUAGGGCGGGACACGUGAAAUCCUGUCUGAACAUGGGGGGACCACCCUCCAAGCCUAAGUACUCCUUACCAACCGAUAGUGAACCAGUACCGUGAGGGAAAGGUGAAAAGCACCCCGACGAGGGGAGUGAAACAGAUCCUGAAACCGGACGCCUACAAGCAGUCGGAGCCGCCUUGCGCGGUGACGGCGUACCUUUUGUAUAAUGGGUCAGCGACUUUGUCUCUCGAGCAAGCUUAAGCCGGUAGGUGUAGGCGCAGCGAAAGCGAGUCUGAAUAGGGCGACGAGUUCGAGGGAUAAGACCCGAAACCGAGUGAUCUAGCCAUGUGCAGGUUGAAGGUGCGGUAACACGCACUGGAGGACCGAACCCACGUCUGUUGAAAAAGACGGGGAUGACGUGUGGCUAGGGGUGAAAGGCCAAUCAAACUCGGAGAUAGCUGGUUCUCCGCGAAAUCUAUUUAGGUAGAGCGUCUCGUAUUACCUUCGGGGGUAGAGCACUGGAUGGGCUAGGGGGUCCCAACGACUUACCAAACCUAACCAAACUCCGAAUACCGAAGAGUAGAGCGAGGCAGACACACUGCGGGUGCUAAGGUCCGUAGUGGAGAGGGAAACAGCCCUGACCGCCAGCUAAGGUCCCUAAGUUAUCACUAAGUGGGAAACGAUGUGGGAAUGCUUAGACAACCAGGAGGUUGGCUUAGAAGCAGCCAUCCUUUAAAGAAAGCGUAACAGCUCACUGGUCAAGCGUUCCUGCGCGGAAAAUGUAACGGGGCUUAAGUGAUACACCGAAGCUGCGGACUCGAAAGAGUGGUAGCGGAGCGUUCUGUAAGUCUGUGAAGGUGGCCUGCGAGGGCUGCUGGAGAUAUCAGAAGUGAGAAUGCUGACAUGAGUAGCGAUAAAGAGGGUGAGAGGCCCUCUCGCCGAAAGUCCAAGGGUUCCUGCGCAAUGCUAAUCAGCGCAGGGUAAGCCGGCCCCUAAGGCGAGGCCGAAAGGCGUAGUCGAUGGGAACCAGGUUAAUAUUCCUGGGCCAGCGGGUAGUGACGGAUUACGGACGUUGUACACUCUUACUGGAUUGAGUGUGCAGCCAAGUCGUCCCUGGAAAUAGCUCCCGCAUGAGACCGUACCCCAAACCGACACAGGUGGACUGGUAGAGCAUACCAAGGCGCUUGAGAGAACUCUGUUGAAGGAACUCGGCAAAUUACUCCCGUAAGUUCGCGAGAAGGGAGCCUGGCAUUAGGCAACUGGUGUCCAGGGGCACAGACCAGGGGGUGGCGACUGUUUAUUAAAAACACAGGGCUCUGCGAAGUCGCAAGACGACGUAUAGGGUCUGACGCCUGCCCGGUGCCGGAAGGUUAAAAGGAGGGGUGAGAGCUCCGAAUUGAAGCCCCGGUAAACGGCGGCCGUAACUAUAACGGUCCUAAGGUAGCGAAAUUCCUUGUCGGGUAAGUUCCGACCUGCACGAAUGGCGUAAC